UACAGGGGGUGCUAGCGUUGUUCGGAAUUACUGGGCGUAAAGGGCGCGUAGGCGGUGCCGCAAGUCAGGGGUGAAAGCCCGGGGCUCAACUCCGGAAUUGCCUUUAAAACUGCAUCGCUAGAAUUGUGGAGAGGUAAGUGGAAUUCCGAGUGUAGAGGUGAAAUUCGUAGAUAUUCGGAAGAACACCAGUGGCGAAGGCGACUUACUGGACACAUAUUGACGCUGAGGUGCGAAAGCGUGGGGAGCAAACAGG
RNAcentral lists this ribosomal RNA (253 nucleotides) under uncultured bacterium. RNAcentral's name for it is "partial 16S ribosomal RNA". It matches the Rfam family "Bacterial small subunit ribosomal RNA", at positions 524 to 776 of the family's 1533-position model. The record is from RNAcentral.